This is a long non-coding RNA of Gastrolobium bilobum, 2116 nucleotides long. RefSeq lists it as uncharacterized. NCBI's taxonomy places the organism in Eukaryota, Viridiplantae, Streptophyta, Magnoliopsida, Fabales, Fabaceae. The record is from RefSeq and is a predicted model, not a curated record. The transcript is spliced from 4 exons.
AAUAAAAUUUUUUUCUGUUGCGGGGGGAGAGAUUCCGGGUUUUUAAUUAUUUUAUUUAUUUUUCCCGGCUCUCCCUCCGCUGUGUGUGUUGCUUCUUCCCCUUCCCCUUUCUUCGUAUUCUUCUUUUCUCUGCCCUAUGAAUUUUUCUGCACUCUAGUACGUUCUACACAUACCAGGAUUACGAUUAGAAAUCGGUUAUCGUUCUGGAACCCGAUUCAACAAAAGAUUGGCAAUCGAUAAGGUACAUGGUUCUGAAACAUACUUUCAUUGAUUUUAGUUACAUGGUUCAUGAAUUUUUUUUUUCAUGAAAUUCACUAAAUGUGUGCGGACAUAAAUUACAUCUUCUUGGUCCGUUCUUGGUCCGCCACUGCUUAAUAAUAUAAUUUUACAUUUUACAACUACCAUUAUACCUCGCAUGGCCUAAAUUCAUAGCAUCGUUUUAUAUAUUUAUAAUUAGAAUAGUUCUCAUAGCAUCGUUUUAUGAAUUUAUAAUUAGAAUAGAUGGCCUGCACACAAUUAAACUAUAAGAUGUUUUCAUGGUUUUGCUGCAAUUGCAAUUUGACAUAUACAAAUGAUUUAUAUCUCUUAUGUCAAACACUGCUUUUAGAUUUUCACGAUUAGUAUAACAAUUUUUUCUAUAAUUAAAUGGCUCAUUCAAUUCUUUAGACAGAAGAGAGCAAUAUCGGUGAUACAAUAGUUUAUGAUCAUAAUAAUAUAGAUAUUAAACUUGCUAGUAAUUUCACUGAUCUCCUUUUAAAGCUACACAAGUUUACUGUCGAACUUUAACAACUUAUCGAGUUAGUAGUGGCUUUUGAUCAUCCAAAAUUAUAUGUUACUAUUGUAUGUGCAAUAUACUAUUUAAUUAAAACAAGCAAAGAAACUUCGUAAGCCUAUAUCGUUGACUGUUGAGAGCCCAUGCGCACUUGUACUUUUUCAAAAAUGCAACAUGUAAUCUUACGGUUCAAUCUCUUGCCAAGUUAAUCUGUCAUUUAUAAGUAAUAUAUGUGUUGAUUUAUGAUUCGGAUACUUAUAUUUCGAUCUAUGGUAUACCUACGGAAACCAGUUAUUGUUAUCAUGUAGAAUUAUGCCGGUACAAUAAUUUAAAGUUUGAUUGGUGACUUGUUGCGGCUGUAUUGCAAAGCUUCACUUGUACCAGGGUCUUUUUGGGGUAUGUGGGAGUUUGUAAACGUGUUUCCCAAAAGCUGCCUUGGUUAGCUUUUGAGGCAGUGGGUACAGAAGGCUGUAAAACCGUUCCUAGUGUAGCUUCAAGGUUCGUUGUAUGUGCAGUUCGCUAUUGUGGAUCUACCUGAGCUUCUGACCUUUUUGGAGCAUUUUGCUACCCGCAAAACACCUUUGUCAAUCAGAUUUCUGAAGAUGUGAGUGACUUUUAACUGCUAGAGAAGGCUUGCGGUUCUGUGAAGCUGGGAAAGUCAUCAGACAACUUAGCCCUUUCUGGAUUUCUGAAUCAGCUUAUCUGCAUAAUUGCAUUUUGUUCUUUGGAUCAAUGGUUUAUUUAUUGUUACUCGCUUGAAGGAAAUUUUAAUUUGAUACCGGUGUGAACAUUGUGUUGAUAUUACCAAAAAAUUUCGGUUUCGUCUGCUUCAUCAAAUUAGACGAUUCUGUUAUAUCAACUAUUGCCCGUGUAUAGUCUUGUUUCUUCACCGUUCAACGAGAUAUAUUCCCGACGUUAGUUGAUGUUUUUAUGGCCUCCGCCAUUGUUGGAGUGAUCUGUAGUUCUUGGAAACACGGUUGACAAUAAAUUCCAGUGAGCUUGCUGAUGACCACACCAUCAGAUUCUCCUCUCUAUUUUUAGUGCUUUCAGAAUGAACUGAUCUCUUCUUUAUGCGACUAAAAUUCCGCUGCCUUUUUUAUUUGUACUCUUGCGUUAUACAGUAACGAAGUGAUGAAUUAGUGAUAGUCGGCUCUGAUUCAUAUUAGAGUUAUUGUGAAUAAUAUCGAUGGUAAUUUUUUCUAUGCCAAAUUUAUGCAACUCGUAACAUAGUUUCUUUACUAUAGAUAUGGAAAGGAUUCAUUUAGAGUACUGAAAAUCCGUUUUUUCUUGGUUGGAGAGGUAAAUUGCAUGUUUUGAAAUGGCUUAAGUUUGAAAAAAAAACAA